Molecule: ribosomal RNA, 386 nt
Filed under: uncultured bacterium
Lineage: Bacteria
Description: bacterial SSU rRNA
Rfam family: Archaeal small subunit ribosomal RNA
Source: RNAcentral
GCGCGAAAACUUUACAAUGCUGGCAACAGCGAUAAGGGAACCUCGAGUGCCAGGUUACAAAUCUGGCUGUCAAGAUGCCUAAAAAGCACUUCAUAGCAAGGGCCGGGCAGAACCGUGCCAGCCCCCCCCGUAACACCGGCGGGCCGGGUGGUUAACCGUAUUUUUUGGGCUAAAGGGUCUGUAGCCGGCCGGAUAAGUCUCUUGAGAAAUCUGGCAGCUUAACUGUCAGGCUUUCAGGAGAUACUGUCUGGCUCGAGGCCGGGAGAGGUGAGAGGUACUUCAGGGGUAGGGGUGAAAUCUUGUAAUCCUUGAAGGACCACCAGUGGCGAAGGCGUCUCACCAGAACGGACCUGACGGCAAGGGACGAAAGCUAGGGGCACGAACCG